UACGGAGGGAGCGAGCGUUGUUCGGAAUCAUUGGGCGUAAAGGGCAUGUAGGCGGCAUUGUAAGUCGGGUGUGAAAUCCCACUCCUUAAUAGUGGAAUGGCAUUCGAAACUGCAAAGCUCGAGUUCAGGGGAAGAAAGCGGAAUUCUCGGUGUAGCGGUGAAAUGCGUAGAUAUCGAGAAGAACACCGGUGGCGUAAGCGGCUUUCUAUCCUGAAACUGACGCUGAGAUGCGAAAGCCAGGGGAGCGAACGGGAUUAGAUACCCCGGUAGUCCUGGCCAUAAACGAUGUGCACCUGGUGUUGGGCCGCGAGGCUCAGUGCCGAAGCUAACGCAUUAAGUGCACCGCCUGGGGAGUACGACCGCAAGGUUGAA
This 372-nucleotide ribosomal RNA is filed under the name uncultured bacterium. Its description in RNAcentral is "bacterial SSU rRNA". It matches the Rfam family "Bacterial small subunit ribosomal RNA", at positions 524 to 898 of the family's 1533-position model. The record is from RNAcentral.